RNAcentral lists this ribosomal RNA (36 nucleotides) under Alphonsea sp. US:3530833. Its description in RNAcentral is "partial 26S ribosomal RNA". The record is from RNAcentral. Lineage: Eukaryota; Viridiplantae; Streptophyta; Magnoliopsida; Magnoliales; Annonaceae.
GCGACCCCAUGUCAGGCGGGGCUACCCACCGAGUUU